Molecule: ribosomal RNA, 492 nt
Filed under: uncultured bacterium
Lineage: Bacteria
Description: partial 16S ribosomal RNA
Rfam family: Bacterial small subunit ribosomal RNA
Source: RNAcentral
AGUGAACGCUGGCGGUAGGCCUAACACAUGCAAGUCGAACGGCAGCACAGUAAGCGCUUGCUCUUACGGGUGGCGAGUGGCGGACGGGUGAGGAAUACAUAGGAAUCUACUUUUUCGUGGGGGAUAACGGAGGGAAACUUACGCUAAUACCGCAUACGUCCUACGGGAGGAAGCAAGGGAUAAUGGGACUUUUCGUGACUGAAUGAGACGAUGUCGGAUUAGCUAGUUGGCGGGGUAAAGGCCCACCAAGGCAACGAUCCGUAGCUGGUCUGAGAGGAUGAUCGGCCACACUGGAACUGAGACACGGUCCAGACUCCUACGGGAGGCAGCAGUGGGGAAUAUUGGGCAAUGGGCGCAAGCCUGAUCCAGCAAUACCGCGUGAGUGAUGAAGGCCUUCGGAUCGUAAAGCUCUGUUAUUAGGGAAGAAAAGCAGCGUAUUAAACCCCCGCUAUUCUGACGGUACCCAAAGAGAAAGCAACGGCUAACUUCGUG